Molecule: unclassified non-coding RNA, 203 nt
Filed under: uncultured Atractiellales
Lineage: Eukaryota; Fungi; Basidiomycota; Atractiellomycetes; Atractiellales
Description: sequence contains ITS2
Source: RNAcentral
AACUCUCAACCCUCUUACUUUUGUUUACCAUUGGUAUCAGGGCUUGGAUCAUGAGUGCCUGCUGGACCUGUGCAUCAGCUCACUCUAAACGUAUCAGUGGUCUGCUUCCUCUGUCUUGCAGAUAGAUCUGGUGUAAUAGGUUUUAUUCACUGGGCUUCUGUGUGGGCAAAUGGAUGCUUGUCACUCCCAAACAAUUACUAAGU